UAGAGUUUGAUCCUGGCUCAGAACGUACGCUGGCGGCACGCCUAAUACAUGCAAGUCGAACGAAGUAGCAAUACUUAGUGGCAGACGGGUGAGUAACAUGUGGGUAUCUUCCCUUUGGUGAGGAAUAACACGAGGAAACUUGUGCUAAUACCUCAUAAGUCUUUACGGAGAAAGCUUUAUGCGCCAUUGGAUGAGCCCGCACUUGAUUAGUUUGUUGGUGGGGUAAUGGCCUACCAAGACAAUGAUCAAUAGCUGAUUUGAGAGGAUGAUCAGCCACAUUGGGACUGAGACACGGCCCAAACUUCUACGGAAGGCAGCAGUAGGGAAUCUUGCACAAUGGAGGAAACUCUGAUGCAGCGAUGCCGCGUGAGUGAAGAAGGCCUUUGGGUUGUAAAGCUCUUUCGUCGGGGAAGAAAAUGACUGUACCCGAAUAAGAAGGUCCGGCUAACUUCGUGCCAGCAGCCGCGGUAAUACGAAGGGACCUAGCGUAGUUCGGAAUUACUGGGCUUAAAGAGUUCGUAGGUGGUUAAAAAAGUUGGUGGUGAAAUCCCAGAGCUUAACUCUGGAACUGCCAUCAAAACUUUUUAGCUAGAGUAUGAUAGAGGAAAGCAGAAUUUCUAGUGUAGAGGUGAAAUUCGUAGAUAUUAGAAAGAAUACCAAUUGCGAAGGCAGCUUUCUGGAUCAUUACUGACACUGAGGAACGAAAGCAUGGGUAGCGAAGAGGAUUAGAUACCCUCGUAGUCCAUGCCGUAAACGAUGUGUGUUAGACGUUGGAAAUUUAUUUUCAGUGUCGCAGCGAAAGCAAUAAACACACCGCCUGGGGAGUACGACCGCAAGGUUAAAACUCAAAUGAAUUGACGGGGACCCGCACAAGUAGUGGAGCAUGUGGUUUAAUUCGAAGAUACGCGCAGAACCUUACCAACACUUGACAUGUUCGUCGCGACUCUAAGAGAUUAGAGUUUUCGGUUCGGCCGGACGAAACACAGGUGCUGCAUGGCUGUCGUCAGCUCGUGUCGUGAGAUGUUGGGUUAAGUCCCGCAACGAGCGCAACCCUUACUUUUAGUUGCCAUCAUUUAGUUGGGAACUCUGAAAGAACUGCCAGUGAUAAGCUGGAGGAAGGUGGGGAUGACGUCAAGUCCUCAUGGCCCUUACGUGUUGGGCUACACACGUGCUACAAUGGCAUUUACAAUAGGAAGCAAGGCGGCGACGUCAAGCAAAUCCUAAAAAAAUGCCUCAGUUCGGAUUGUACUCUGCAACUCGAGUACAUGAAGCUGGAAUUACUAGUAAUCGCGGAUCAGCGUGCCGCGGUGAAUGCGUUCCCGGGUCUUGUACACACCGCCCGUCACACCAUGGGAGUUGGUUCUACCUUAAGGCAAAGCUUAAAACCUUUGACCACGGUAUAGUCAGCGACUGGGGUGAAGUCGUAACAAGGUAACC
RNAcentral lists this ribosomal RNA (1437 nucleotides) under uncultured bacterium. Its description in RNAcentral is "bacterial SSU rRNA". It matches the Rfam family "Bacterial small subunit ribosomal RNA". The record is from RNAcentral.